UGAAAUGAGUCUUCUUCCAGUU
RNAcentral lists this non-coding RNA (22 nucleotides) under Rattus norvegicus (Norway rat). The record is from RNAcentral. Lineage: Eukaryota; Metazoa; Chordata; Mammalia; Rodentia; Muridae.